CCAGCGGUAAGCGGGGUCCCAUUCGCCCCGGCCGCCCGUCCCCGUGUUCGCCACGUAGGCAGCCACGUGUUUCCGCGCUUCUAGGAACAGGGCUCCUGUGUCCUCGCGGCUUCCCCGCCACAGAUCCCCGCGCCGCCGGCCUCGGGUCGCCCUUGCCUGGAGCCAGUGAGCCACCCCCGCCUCCCGCUGGCUGGUGUCCCGCUUGGCAGAGGCCGGGGAGUGGUGCCCCAGACCCAAGAGCAGAGGAGACUGAGGCCCAGAGCGGUUACAUGACACUAAGUGACACAGGUUGGACUGACCCUCUUGCAGGCUUACUGUAGCCUCCUCUCCUCCCCCUGCACCAGGCACCAUGCCAUCCCAGGACAGCCAGGAGCACAACUGGACCGUCUCUGAGCACCGUUGCAGCUCUGAAUGAGGAGAGGCAGGGUCAGCAUCCAGUGGCAUCAUCAUCAACACAGCAUGGCCAGGCCAGGAGGUGAGACAGUAGUUUAGGUUCAGUCUUCUGACUGUGGACUGUGUGACUUUAGGCAAGUUCUUUUACCUCUUCGUAACUAGCAGUCACUCCAGACCUUGCAGGUUCACUGAGUUUGCUCAAAUGGUGGUACAGUGACUGUGGGGCUUACUGCAGGACAUGCACAGGGCCAUGGGCACUGGAUGAGCAAGGUUCCUAUCCGCCUGUGGCCUCACCCUGAGCAUGGUUGCAAACCAAUGAGCCUUUCUCCAGGCGCUUAUUGGGAACUGGAUGAAUGUCAUUGUGGAUAUAGAGAUCAUAAUGGACACCAUUCGUGAAG
RNAcentral lists this long non-coding RNA (791 nucleotides) under Capra hircus (goat). RNAcentral describes it as "lncRNA (ENSCHIG00000003876.1)". Lineage: Eukaryota; Metazoa; Chordata; Mammalia; Artiodactyla; Bovidae. The record is from RNAcentral.